CCUACGGGGGGCUGCAGUGGGGAAUUUUGGACAAUGGGCGCAAGCCUGAUCCAGCAAUGCCGCGUGCAGGAUGAAGGCCUUCGGGUUGUAAACUGCUUUUGUACAGAACGAAACGGCUCUUUCUAAUACAAGGAGCUAAUGACGGUACUGUAAGAAUAAGCACCGGCUAACUACGUGCCAGCAGCCGCGGUAAUACGUAGGGUGCGAGCGUUAAUCGGAAUUACUGGGCGUAAAGCGUGCGCAGGCGGUUAUGUAAGACAGAUGUGAAAUCCCCG
This 275-nucleotide ribosomal RNA is filed under the name uncultured bacterium. RNAcentral's name for it is "partial 16S ribosomal RNA". It matches the Rfam family "Bacterial small subunit ribosomal RNA", at positions 338 to 605 of the family's 1533-position model. The record is from RNAcentral.